Molecule: ribosomal RNA, 441 nt
Filed under: uncultured bacterium
Lineage: Bacteria
Description: partial 16S ribosomal RNA
Rfam family: Bacterial small subunit ribosomal RNA
Source: RNAcentral
CCUACGGGGGGCAGCAGUGGGGGAUAUUGCACAAUGGGGGGAACCCUGAUGCAGCGACGCCGCGUGGGUGAAGGAGUGCUUCGGCAUGUAAAGCCCUAUCGGCAGGGAAGAAGCAAGACGGUACCUGACUAAGAAGCCCCGGCUAACUACGUGCCAGCAGCCGCGGUAAUACGUAGGGGGCGAGCGUUAUCCGGAUUCACUGGGUGUAAAGGGAGCGUAGACGGCCAAGCAAGCCAGGGGUGAAAGCCCGGGGCCCAACCCCGGGACUGCCCUUGGAACUGCAUGGCUGGAGUGCGGGAGGGGCAGGCGGAAUUCCUGGUGUAGCGGUGAAAUGCGUAGAUAUCAGGAGGAACACCGGCGGCGAAGGCGGCCUGCUGGACCGCGACUGACGUUGAGGCUCGAAAGUGUGGGGAGCAAACAGGAUUAGAUACCCUGGUAGUC